UGAACGCUAGCGACAGGCCUAACACAUGCAAGUCAGGGGCAGCACAAGGAGCAAUCUGAGGUGGCGACCGGCGCACGGGUGAGUAACACGUAUGCAACCUGCCUGUAAGCGGGGAAUAACCCGUUGAAAGACGGACUAAUACCGCAUAAUACUAAAUUACUGCAUGGUAAUUUAUUUAAACAUUUAUGGCUUACAGAUGGGCAUGCGCAUGAUUAGCUAGUUGGAGAGGUAACGGCUCCCCAAGGCAACGAUCAUUAGGGGUUCUGAGAGGAAGGUCCCCCACACUGGUACUGAGACACGGACCAGACUCCUACGGGAGGCAGCAGUGAGGAAUAUUGGUCAAUGGACGAGAGUCUGAACCAGCCAAGUCGCGUGCAGGAAGAAUGUCCUUAAUGGAUUGUAAACUGCUUUUGCAGGGGAAUAAAGUGCAUCACGUGUGAUGUUUUGUAUGUACUCUGCGAAUAAGGAUCGGCUAACUCCGUGCCAGCAGCAGC
This 494-nucleotide ribosomal RNA is filed under the name uncultured bacterium. RNAcentral's name for it is "bacterial SSU rRNA". It matches the Rfam family "Bacterial small subunit ribosomal RNA", at positions 30 to 518 of the family's 1533-position model. The record is from RNAcentral.